AUUGAACGCUGGCGGCAUGCUUUACACAUGCAAGUCGGACGGCAGCACAGAGAAUCUUGCUUCUUGGGUGGCGAGUGGCGAACGGGUGAGUAAUAUAUCUGAACGUACCGAGUAAUGGGUGAUAUCUAAUCGAAAGAUUAGCUAAUACCGCAUAUUCUCUGAGGAGGAAAGCAGGGGACCUUCUUGCCUUGCUUUAUUCUAGCGGCCGAUAUCUGAUUAGCUAGUUGGUGGGGUAAAGGCCUACCAAGGCGACGAUCAGUAGCGGGUCUGAGAGGAUGAUUCGCGACAGGGGGACUGAGACACGGCCCAGACACCUACGGGAGGCAGCAGUGGGGAAUUUUGGACAAGGGGCGGAAGCCUGAUACAGCCAUGCCGCGUGUAUGAAGAAGGCCUUCGGGUUGUAAAGGACUUUUGUCAGGGAAGAAAAGGCUGUUGCUAAUACCGACAGCUGAUGACGGUACCUGAAGAAUAAGCACCGGCUAACUACGUG
This 490-nucleotide ribosomal RNA is filed under the name uncultured bacterium. Its description in RNAcentral is "partial 16S ribosomal RNA". It matches the Rfam family "Bacterial small subunit ribosomal RNA", at positions 30 to 507 of the family's 1533-position model. The record is from RNAcentral.